Molecule: ribosomal RNA, 831 nt
Filed under: uncultured Glomerales
Lineage: Eukaryota; Fungi; Glomeromycota; Glomeromycetes; Glomerales; Glomeraceae
Description: LSU rRNA
Rfam family: Eukaryotic large subunit ribosomal RNA
Source: RNAcentral
GCAUAUCAAUAAGCGGAGGAAAAGAAAAUAACAAUGAUUCCCUUAGUAACUGCGAGUGAAGUGGGACAAGCUCAAAUUUUAAAUCUGUUAGGUUCUACCUUUAACAGAGUUGUAAUUUAAAGAAAUCGUUUUCUGUAUCUUGGGUUAGCAUAAAUCCUUUGGAACAAGGUAUCAUUGAGGGUGAGAAUCCCGUUCAUGGUUAAUCUCUUUAAGAUACUUUUUUAAGAUACGGUUUCCAAGAGUAGGGUUGUUUGGGAUUGCAGCUCGAAAUGGGAGGUAGAUUUCUCCUAAAGCUAAAUAUUGGCGAGAGACCGAUAGCGAACAAGUACCGUGAGGGAAAGAUGAAAAGAACUUUGGAAAGAGUGUUAAAUAGUACGUGAAAUUGUUGAAAAGGAAACGAUUAAAGUCAGUCAUACCGACGGGAAAUCAACCUUUUGGGUACUAGAGGGAGUGUCGCUGUUCCUUGUGAAUACGCCUCCCUCGUGAUUUUGGAGUUUUCAAGGAGUUUUUUCCAAAAAAACCUUUGGGGCUUUAUAUUUCUGCUCUUUUGGUGAACUUUCUCGUAGGUAGGUUAACAUCGAUUUUGAACGUUAUAAAAAGACUGGAGGAAUGUAGCUCCAUUCGGUCUUGUAUUGAAUGAUAGCCUUAUAGACUUCGGUAAAUGUAAUGAUCAAGAUCGAGGAUUGCAACGAAUACCCUUUUGGGCUAUCCGUCUGAUCUUUGAUACGUUAACUUGGCAUCGAAAGCGUUCAGGGUAAGUAUUGCUUCGGUGUUGAGGUUUACGGGUCAAAAGGUUAGAAUGUGAUUACAUUNGUUAAGGAUGUUGACGUA